AAGCUAUUACUUCUGAGCUCCUCUAUCCCAACAAUUUCUCCUUUAGCACCAUCACCAAAGGUUACAAAGCUGGUUGAAUAAGACUUUAUACCUGUUGGGUUUUUUGUAUGUUGGCUACAUUUUGCAAAAACAUAUUUUAGCCAAGUGUUGAGACAUAUGUGCUGACCCCAAGUGUUGUGACAAAUGUUGGUACACUUUGGAACAACACCUGUCUGUGUACCUGUGCGUGCCAGCUAGCGG
Molecule: long non-coding RNA, 240 nt
Filed under: Trifolium pratense (red clover)
Lineage: Eukaryota; Viridiplantae; Streptophyta; Magnoliopsida; Fabales; Fabaceae
Description: long non-coding RNA (TPRA_LNC005933)
Source: RNAcentral